UCGCGUGAUUUGGAGGUUAAAAUUAUUAUAUAAGCCAACAACAAAGGACUAACACAACAUUAACAAAUUGUAUAAAAAGUUGCCUAACUUGUACUUGGUAUCUUUUGCUUUUUCACUUACGCGUGUAGUGCAACUUCUCCUAGCAAACUGUGUAUAGAAAACUCGGGUUAUACACUGUAGUUCUCUUCUCAACUUUCUCUUUCUUCUUCACUCUUAAUGGUCUUUAGUCCUUAGCCAUUGCUAAAAAGCAAUAGUAGCGGCUGUUUGUUCUCAGAUAAUCUCACUACUAUUUGAGGCAGAUCUGGACAAAAAACUCAGGUCUUAUUAUUCUUUCAUUAACUUAUAUCAUAUUUUUUGUAUUUUGCUUAACUACCCCACACAUCUGACAUAUGGUAAAAAAUUUCUGUAAGAAAUUUAAAAAUCAGGUUAGUGCAUGUACAUUGUGAUAAUUCCUAUCUUUUUUUGUAUUUUUUUUUUUUUUUAAAUUAUCCCACAAAAGUUGACAUAAAACUUUAGGGUUAAUUAGGUUGUGGAAUCAGGUAUAAUAGUUCCUUUGUUAUUCGCUCUCUCGAAGUGUUUCUCAAUUUUAGUUGGGUUUUCCUUUAAUGUUUCUUUUUUAUUUCACUUUGUUGCUGGUGAUUAGAAUUUGAUAAUCCCAACUUUCUCAAAGUUUUUCCAUUUUCAUUUUAUUUGACUAUUUGUGUCUAACCUCUCUAUUUCAUUUGAGGUAGUAGUAUGAACUGGGUACACUUUAUCCUCCCCAGAUCCCACUUUGUUGGAAUGCACCGGGUAUGUUGUUACUGUUGACUAUUUGUGUCUCUUUGUUUUGGCAAGUUAGUUGGUUCAAGCUUUCUUUGUUGCACUCUUCCUUGGCGAUCAAAGUGACAAUAAUAACAAACAAAGAGGACGACUUACAAGAAGUGGGUUACAGUACCAAUGGUGUUAAUCUUUUCUAGAUUUUGACAAGAAAAAUAAUUUUGAAGCAGGCUGUGAACCUAUGUGAUUUGAUUAUAUAACCUGCUCAUUCCACAUGAAACUUUUAUUCGAGUAGCAUUCUGAGAUUAACGAAGUACUAAAAUACAAAAAUUUUAUAAGCGACAUACUUUCAAAUAAUUUUACUUUUCAUUUUCAUUAGCAAAGUAGAUAAUGGUGCUUGAUCAAGGAUGCCCCUACAUUUUAUAACCGACAUAUAUACCAUCUUAAACACUACUUGGCGUCAAAGAUCUUCGACGUGAAGACUUGUUGAGCAUUUGUGGCAAUGAGAAAGGCGAGAGAAAGCUACAUGAAUGAGUCUAUGAUUAUGAUCUUUACAACGAUUUAGGCAAUCCUGACAAAAGUGAGGAUCUUGCUAGGCCGUUGAUAGUAACUCAUCCAGUUUAUGCCCCUAGAGAUGAAACUUUUGAAGAAAUUAAGAAAAAUACUUUUUCUGCUGGAAGGUUGAAAGUUCUGUUACAUAACCUGGUACCACUAGUUGCGGGUACAUUAUCAAGCUCAGACAUUUCCUUUACAAACUUCACUGACAUAGAUAAACUGUAUAACGAUGGGUUUGUCUUGAAUGAUGAUAAAGAUUUACAGAAGAAUAAAUUUUCUUCUGAUACUUUGGAUAAAGUAUUUUCUGAUAGCAAAAGGUUGCUCAAGUACAAGAUUUUUGCUAUAUUCUAACGUAAGAACACAUAGCUAUUUUUUCAUUCAUAUAUGUUUUCCUCUAUCAUUUAGCAUUGUUGAAAGUUGAAUCUUGAGGAGUUCUAUUUGUCUAUUAGAUUUACAAGACGUGCCAUCAGAAACCUACCAUCCUAUAAUUUCUUUCCAACGUUCUUUUGGAGUAAUAUUUCAUGCACUCUGCAUCUUUCUGUUUUCUGUCUUGCAGGGGAUAGAUUUGCGUGUCUGCGAGAUAAUGAGUUCGCCCGACUAGCUUUAGCAGGGAUUAACCCUGUGAAUAUUGAACUUUCGAGGAUAAUUUCUAAUUAUUAUUUUUGUACUAAAUGAAUUGUAAGCUUUCUUUAGAUGUUCAUUAAGCUUGUGGAUAUUUAACAGGAAUUUUCAAUUGUUAGCAAGAUAGAUAUAGCUGUUAAUGGUCCCCCUGAUUCAGCUAUUACCAGGGAUCUUAUAGAACAGGAGCUUAAUGAACUAAGUGUGAAGAGGCUAUUGAAGGCAAGAGAUUGUUUAUAAUUGAUUAUCAUGACAUGCUUUUGCCAUUUAUUGGGAAGAUGAACUCCGUGGCAAAGAGCAAAUCUUAUGCAUCAUUCUUUUACACAUCCAGAGGUGUUCCAAAGCCAAUUAUCAUUAAACUUUCACUGCCUCCUACACCUUCUUCACCUAGGAACAAGAUGAGUGGGUUUAUAGUUGAUGUGCAACAAUCCAGUUAUUAGAGCAUGCUAUGUUCGAUGAGAAGUGUCAGAGAUAGAAAAAGAAGUAAUUGUUCAUUGUAUUCUCUUAAUUCGAUUUGAGAGACUUUUAGCUGUUGAUAGGGUUCAUCAAAUUUUGAGUUGAAGAUUGAAGUCCUUUGUGCAAUAUUCACUAUGUUUUUUCAUUGA
Molecule: long non-coding RNA, 2534 nt
Organism: Capsicum annuum
Lineage: Eukaryota; Viridiplantae; Streptophyta; Magnoliopsida; Solanales; Solanaceae
Exons: 2
Source: RefSeq, a predicted model, not a curated record